Molecule: unclassified non-coding RNA, 378 nt
Filed under: plant metagenome
Description: partial contains 5.8S ribosomal RNA, internal transcribed spacer 2, and large subunit ribosomal RNA
Rfam family: 5.8S ribosomal RNA (bases 1-105)
Source: RNAcentral
GAAAUGCGAUAAGUAAUGUGAAUUGCAGAAUUCAGUGAAUCAUCGAAUCUUUGAACGCACCUUGCGCUCCUUGGUAUUCCUGGGAGCAUGCCUGUUUGAGUAUCAUGAAAUCUUCAAAGUAAAUCUUUUGUUACCUCAAUUGGCUUCUACUUUGGUAUUGGAGGUCUUUGCAGCUUCACACCUGCUCCUCUUUGUUCAUUAGCUGGAUCUCAGUGUUAUGCUUGGUUCCACUCGGCGUGAUAAGUUAUCUAUCGCUGAGGACACUGUAAAAGGUGGCCAAGGUAAAUGCAGAUGAACCGCUUCUAAUAGUCCAUUGACUUGGACAAUACUUUUAUGAUCUGAUCUCAAAUCAGGUAGGACUACCCGCUGAACUUAAGC